This 218-nucleotide long non-coding RNA is filed under the name Gossypium raimondii (Peruvian cotton). Its description in RNAcentral is "long non-coding RNA (GRAI_LNC005410)". The record is from RNAcentral. Lineage: Eukaryota; Viridiplantae; Streptophyta; Magnoliopsida; Malvales; Malvaceae.
UUUAGAGGUUUAGGGUUUAGGGUUUUAGAGUUUAGAGUUUAGAUUAAUUAGUGUGUUUUAAUUUAUAUAUUAAAUAAUGUUUAGGGGUUAGGGGUUAGGAUUUAGAUUAAUUAGUGUUUCUUAAUUUAUAUGUUAAAUAAGGUUUAUGAGUUAGUGGUUAGGGGUUUAGGGUUUAGGGUUAAGAGUUAGCGAUUUAGGGUUUAGAGAUUCAGGGUCGG